CCGUAAAUAGCCUGGAUCUAAGACCCCUGACUCCACACUCCAUUCCAAGCCUUUAUCAUCUUGCUACACAAACAGUCGGGUCAGAUAAGGAAUCUAACAGCAUGUCUGAUGAUCUUGACCUCCCUCCUGACUAACAGGGACUGAAUCUCAAGACCCCUAUCCCUCAUAGGUUAGUAGAUCGCCUCCCAGCAUAGUAGAUGGAUUCCAUAGCCAUUAUACCUUGAACCCC
This 229-nucleotide long non-coding RNA is filed under the name Elaeis guineensis (African oil palm). RNAcentral's name for it is "long non-coding RNA (EGUI_LNC011788)". The record is from RNAcentral. Lineage: Eukaryota; Viridiplantae; Streptophyta; Magnoliopsida; Arecales; Arecaceae.